Long non-coding RNA from Mastomys coucha (southern multimammate mouse), 448 nucleotides. RefSeq lists it as uncharacterized. NCBI's taxonomy places the organism in Eukaryota, Metazoa, Chordata, Mammalia, Rodentia, Muridae. The record is from RefSeq and is a predicted model, not a curated record. The transcript is spliced from 2 exons.
GGGAGCCUGAGCUGGGGCUAAGGUUUGCUGGAUUUUCCAGUCUCAUCCACUUACUGUGCUUGGCAACCUCUGUCGAGUGACUUCCCACUUGAAGAAGUAGCUAUUACUUCCUGCUUGCUUCCAGGAUGGAUAGAAGCCAGAGAGUUGCCAAAGAUACCAUGAUGACCCUUAACACAACAAUUUGGAGAGCCUGGACUCUGUAAAACCUUUGAUACAGUGAUUUCUUUAUGUGGCCAUAACAUGUCAGCUCACACGUCAAGGUCUAAAAUGGCAAAUGCUCCCUAUCACCUUCCAGCCCCCACCAGCCACGGUCACAGGUGGGGGUUGGACACCUUGCGGGAAUGUGUGCAGCUCCACCUUUGCCGUUGGAAGUCAGGAACCGUCAGCUCCUCCUUUCCAGGAAACAGAGCAUGACCCAGAGAAUAAAGUUUUCCAUUUCCUACCCUCA